RNAcentral lists this long non-coding RNA (319 nucleotides) under Androctonus crassicauda. The record is from RNAcentral. Lineage: Eukaryota; Metazoa; Arthropoda; Arachnida; Scorpiones; Buthidae.
AGACAAUAGUAACAUUAUUUGUGCGAGGGAUGACAAAACUAAAAUGAUGGUUCUUCUUAAGAGAGAAACGUAUGAUUCCUAUUUAAGUGCAUUCAUACACGAGAGUAAUAGCCAGGAGAUACCAAACGACCCAAAUGAAAGCCUAAAUCAGCAAGUCUGCACUAUAUUACGAAAUAAUAAAUUCCCCUCUUUCUUAAAGGCAACUUACAUGAGAUCACCAGCACCACCAAGAUUGUUUGCGUUUGUCAAACAGCAUAAACACCCAAUCGAGGCAAGCCCAGUUGUAGAGAGGACAUUUGCACCUACUUAUCAGUUAGAA